Non-coding RNA from Camelina sativa (false flax), 1232 nucleotides. The record is from RefSeq and is a predicted model, not a curated record. NCBI's taxonomy places the organism in Eukaryota, Viridiplantae, Streptophyta, Magnoliopsida, Brassicales, Brassicaceae.
AGCCCCGUAUACCUCAGAUCCAAAAGUUUUUUAAGUGUCGCAAAGAAAAAAAAAACAUACCUCUCUCUUUACGACAAACAUUAUAAAAAAAAUCCCCAAAUCUAAACUAGGUCAUCUCUUCGACUCUCCCAUAGAUUCCACUGUGAAAUCUUCACCGCGAUCAAAUCGGUUGCUCCCAGCUCAAGACUGAAGAUGCCAAUGGAUAUAACACAAUCGGGACAAGGAUCAAGACCGAUAUCGGCAGGAAGAGAGAAAGAAAGACAGAGAGCGAGAGCGAGAGAGAGACCGUGAGCAUGACCGUCAUUAAGGAGCGAGAGGAGGCUAAGGCUAGGAAGAAGGCGUGGGUUGAGAAAUUAUUUGAGAGAGAGAGGGUCCAGAGGGAGAAGGAACUUGACACCAUUAAAGACCUGUAUCUCGGAGGUAAACGUUCAGAAUUGGUCCUUGUUGCAACUUAUCGAUCUGACUUUAACGAGAAGGAGGUACACAGUUCAUAAUUGGUCCUUGUUUAAGUUUUCUUAAAUUGGUGAGUGAGAAAUAAAAUUCAGAUCUGCUAAAGGAGUUAAACAUCAGUUUCGUUGUAGUUUAGUUGUGGUUUGUUUGUCUUUAAUUGCUAAAGUCGAAGAGAUCCUUUUAAUUUCUCCUAGUAGGGUUACAUGUGUAGGAGCAGCAAUCCUUGAACAUCUCAUGAAACUUGAGGAGUUGAAGUGAAGCCAAGAAAAUUGUUCACUCUUAAGGCUAUUGAAGCAACAUGAAUCAGAAGACUUCACCAUUCCCAGGGUCGACUUGAUGGGCUUGCAGAUAAGCUUAAGUGUUUGGGAACAAAGAGCUUUGCAGAUUAUUAGACAUACCACAACCUUGUAUCUACGGAAAAGCCAGUCAUGAGGGUCUGACUUUGUUAUGAGAAGCCAAAAACACAUCAGCUUUGAAGUCCCAGAUUGAAAAGCUACAACAGGGGAGCGAUGAAUUCCAAAGGAUGGUGAUUGGCAACCAGAUGCAUAUGGAGAGGAUAACGUGGAACAUGUCUUUUCAUAUAUUCAAAGUGAACUAGUGGCUGUUCAUUGGAUUGUUUCAAGGGAAAGUGAGCAGAAGAAAGGCUUGGAUGGGGUACAUGUACAUGUAAAGCUUGUCUCUGUUCUUGUUCUUUGUAAUGUUAGUUUUAUUUUGUUUAAGACUUGGUGGCAUUUGAUGUUAUAUAAGACUUAUCUUGGUUAAUAUAAUAUUAAAGUUAUGUA